RNAcentral lists this transfer RNA (75 nucleotides) under Candidatus Woesearchaeota archaeon. RNAcentral's name for it is "tRNA-Ile". It matches the Rfam family "tRNA". Rfam says of the family: Transfer RNA (tRNA) molecules are approximately 80 nucleotides in length. Their secondary structure includes four short double-helical elements and three loops (D, anti-codon, and T loops). Lineage: Archaea; Nanobdellati; Candidatus Woesearchaeota. The record is from RNAcentral.
GGGCCUGUAGCUUAGCUUGGAUAUAGCACCGGUCUUAUAAGCCGGAGGUCGGGGGUUCAAAUCCCCUCAGGCCCA